UACGAAGGGUGCAAGCGUUAGUCGGAAUUACUGGGCGUAAAGCGUGCGUAGGCGGUUUCUUAAGUCCGUUGUGAAAGCCCUGGGCUCAACCUGGGAACUGCAGUGGAUACUGAGAGGCUAGAGUGUGUCAGAGGAUGAGGGAAUUCCUGGUGUAGCGGUGAAAUGCGUAGAUAUCAGGAGGAACACCGGUGGCGAAAGCGCUCAUCUGGCCCAAUACUGACGCUGAGGCGCGAAAGCUAGGGGAGCAAACGGG
This 253-nucleotide ribosomal RNA is filed under the name uncultured bacterium. RNAcentral describes it as "partial 16S ribosomal RNA". It matches the Rfam family "Bacterial small subunit ribosomal RNA", at positions 524 to 776 of the family's 1533-position model. The record is from RNAcentral.